This 468-nucleotide ribosomal RNA is filed under the name uncultured bacterium. RNAcentral describes it as "partial 16S ribosomal RNA". It matches the Rfam family "Bacterial small subunit ribosomal RNA", at positions 28 to 507 of the family's 1533-position model. The record is from RNAcentral.
GACGAACGCUGGCGGCGUGCUUAACACAUGCAAGUCGAACGGAAAGGCCCUGCUUUUGUGGGGUGCUCGAUUGGCGAACGGGUGAGUAACACGUGAGUAACCUGCCCUUGACUUUGGGAUAACUUCAGGAAACUGGGGCUAAUACCGGAUAGGAGCUCCUGCUGCAUGGUGGGGGUUGGAAAGUUUCGGCGGUUGGGUAUGGACUCGCGGCUUAUCAGCUUGUUGGUGGGGUAGUGGCUUACCAAGGCUUUGACGGGUAGCCGGCCUGAGAGGGUGACCGGCCACAUUGGGACUGAGAUACGGCCCAGACUCCUACGGGAGGCAGCAGUGGGGAAUAUUGCACAAUGGGCGGAAGCCUGAUGCAGCAACGCCGCGUGCGGGAUGACGGCCUUCGGGUUGUAAACCGCUUUCGCCUGUGACGAAGCGUGAGUGACGGUAAUGGGUAAAGAAGCACCGGCUAACUACGUG